RNAcentral lists this transfer RNA (66 nucleotides) under Hydroporus sp. IBE<ESP> AV45. RNAcentral describes it as "tRNA-Arg". The record is from RNAcentral. Lineage: Eukaryota; Metazoa; Arthropoda; Insecta; Coleoptera; Dytiscidae.
AAAUAAGAAGUAAAAUUUUACAUUUAGUUUCGACCUAAAAAUUUGAUAUACAUAUAUCCUUAUUUA